ACUUUUUCAUCAAUACUGGCGAUGAGGCUGCAGUUAUUUUCUCUGUACUUAAUAGCCAGAACCCAGGGGUGGUAAAGAUUUCCGGUGCAUCGUUUGAGCCUGAUGAUGAGGAAAUGGUAGAUAAACUAGUAAGGAAAAUAAAAUCUGCUGCUGCCUUGGAGGGCAAAGCAUCUAGCAUUCAGAAUGUGACUCCGACUGACUUUUAACAUAUUCACAGUCAGUAAUCAGAACAUUGUAAGUCAUUACAUGACAUGUGAGCUAAGUAUAAACCUAUUUCUGUGUGUUUUCUAUAGUUAAAAGCACACUAUUUGCUCAAGAAUAUUAGCUAUGCAGCCGGAAAUAAUUUGAUUGGAAAUCAAAGAACAAAGGGAGACAAAAUUUAACGAGUCUAAAACAAGAACCCUAACAUUUUUUAUUCAAUAAUUAUUAUCCAAUUGUCAUAAAAAAGACAACCACCCUUUACAAAAAAAGAAAAUCAACAUACAUGAGAAAUAAAACAAAAUCUGGAAAUCCAAAAUUAAAGAGGAAAAUAACAAAAUUGCCUACAUCACUUUGCUGAAUUUGUUAUACAGUGAUCUAUAACCAAAAUCUUGUUUGGAAUUCAUUCUGAGAAAUACUAUAUAAGUAAAAAAAAAAAUGUAUACCUUUUUCUUUGAUGUUAAAAAUAUCAAAAUAACUAGAUUUUAUACACAAAGAAAACACUAUAAAAAAGAGAUCAUAAACAACAUUCUCAGUGAUCACUUGCAACCUUUUGGUCUGUUGUUACCCGUGUCUAGAAGUUUUUGAAGUUGCUGAAGAUGAUGAUAUAUUCAAGAUCAUACAAAGCACAGUGAUCAACUCUGGACCGACCUAUAAGGUCACCAGCUCUAGAAGCCACCCAUAAUCAAGAGAUACAGCUUGAGGCAGCAAUGGAGGAUGACAGAGGUCGAUCUACUGCAGAUACUUUCAAUAAUAUUAAGAAGAUGGAGCUUGGGGCAUCGACAAUUGUAACCUCUGGAAUUGAACUAUCACAAGUUCAAGAGCUGCAGCAGAUGACUGAGAAAUAGAUUCUUUUGAUUGCUUUGUAUUUUAGUUUUCAAUGAUAAUUGAAAAUCAUUUCUCAUACCUUUCCUCUGCAAGAUAUAUUCAAAACACAAUUGAGAAUUACCACUCAAAAAACAAUCUCUGCAAAAUCAUUCCAGCCCACCAAUGCAAUAGACCAAAGCUUGACUUCAAGCAAGUUAAUGAAGCCCAGCUUCAAGAGGCUCAAAAGGAAACAUAAAUGAAAAAUAAGGCUCCAUUCUUACUGUGGGAGAGCAUGGUUAUUCUUGUGGAAGAGGCUGAUAUUCUAACACCCUUCAAUUAUAAAACAUACUACUAGAUGCCGGGACCGUCAACUCUAUUUUUCUCAUUAAAUAUUCUAACACCCUUUAAUUUUUAAUUCAAAACAACACCAUUUUGAAAAAAAAAAAAAAACAAUUGACCCUAUCAACUCUUUAACCUGUGAAUUGACCUGUUUAACAUGAGGCAGGCUGAGUUUGAUAACCAUGGAGGCUAAAAAUAAGAAGCAACUUAAGGUUCUCCUAUACGCUCAGGCUCCAUUUCGCCAAUAUCCUACAAUAUACUGCGUGUAUUUUAUGGCUUCUUAAUUAAAUUUUCGUUCUAUGAUCCAAGCUGUCAGAACUCAUGAACGUAUUUCUUUGUGUGCUGGUAUAGAACAUACAUACUUUCUCAGUUUCAUCUCUUUUCGAAAGUUAAUACGAAUUUUUAUGAUGUAGUACUAAUUAUUAUCCCUUGAUUGUUUUGGGAGAUGACAGGAGCCUCACUCCUAAAUCUUUGCUGGUGUAUACAGAAGCCAGGUAUGGUAUUGGACAAGUGUAUUUGAUUAUGCUUUAAAAUAUCCAGGACGUUGAUGGGAUAGUUCAAUUCUGGAUGAGAGAGCAAGAAAAUAUC
RNAcentral lists this long non-coding RNA (1932 nucleotides) under Populus trichocarpa (black cottonwood). RNAcentral's name for it is "long non-coding RNA (PTRI_LNC002949)". Lineage: Eukaryota; Viridiplantae; Streptophyta; Magnoliopsida; Malpighiales; Salicaceae. The record is from RNAcentral.